RNAcentral lists this ribosomal RNA (1105 nucleotides) under Acinetobacter sp. RNAcentral describes it as "bacterial SSU rRNA". It matches the Rfam family "Bacterial small subunit ribosomal RNA", at positions 34 to 1119 of the family's 1533-position model. The record is from RNAcentral. Lineage: Bacteria; Pseudomonadati; Pseudomonadota; Gammaproteobacteria; Moraxellales; Moraxellaceae.
CGGUAAUGGGGGCGGCUUACCAUGCAGUCGAGCGGGGAAGUAUAGCUUGCUAUACGACCUAGCGGCGGACGGGUGAGUAAUGCUUAGGAAUCUGCCUAUUAGUGGGGGACAACAUUCCGAAAGGAAUGCUAAUACCGCAUACGCCCUACGGGGGAAAGCAGGGGAUCUUCGGACCUUGCGCUAAUAGAUGAGCCUAAGUCAGAUUAGCUAGUUGGUGGGGUAAAGGCCUACCAAGGCGACGAUCUGUAGCGGGUCUGAGAGGAUGAUCCGCCACACUGGGACUGAGACACGGCCCAGACUCCUACGGGAGGCAGCAGUGGGGAAUAUUGGACAAUGGGCGAAAGCCUGAUCCAGCCAUGCCGCGUGUGUGAAGAAGGCCUUUUGGUUGUAAAGCACUUUAAGCGAGGAGGAGGCUACCGAGAUUAAUACUCUUGGAUAGUGGACGUUACUCGCAGAAUAAGCACCGGCUAACUCUGUGCCAGCAGCCGCGGUAAUACAGAGGGUGCGAGCGUUAAUCGGAUUUACUGGGCGUAAAGCGUGCGUAGGCGGCUUUUUAAGUCGGAUGUGAAAUCCCUGAGCUUAACUUAGGAAUUGCAUUCGAUACUGGGAAGCUAGAGUAUGGGAGAGGAUGGUAGAAUUCCAGGUGUAGCGGUGAAAUGCGUAGAGAUCUGGAGGAAUACCGAUGGCGAAAGCAGCCAUCUGGCCGUAAUACUGACGCUGAGGUACGAAAGCAUGGGGAGCAAACAGGAUUAGAUACCCUGGUAGUCCAUGCCGUAACGAUGUCUACUAGCCGUUGGGGCCCUUUGAGGCUUUAGUGGCGCAGCUAACGCGAUAAGUAGACCGCCCUGGGGGAGUACGGGUCGCAAGACUAAAACUCAAUGAAUUUGACGGGGGCCCGCACAAGCCGGUGGAGCAUGUGGUUUUACUUCGAUGCACGCGAGAAACGUUACUGCUCGUGGACAUAGUUAGGACUGUCAGAAGAAUGGAAUGGUUGCGUUCAGUACGUACAAUAACAAGUGCUUGCCAUUGACCUGUCGAUCAGCUCAGGUCCGUGACAUGAUUGAUUAAGGUUCCAGCACGAACGCAUGCCGUUUCGUACUUGGCA